GACGAACGCUGGCGGCGUGCCUAAUACAUGCGAGUUGAGCGCUGAAGGUUGGUACUUGUACCAACUGGAUGAGCAGCGAACGGGUGAGUAACGCGUGGGGAAUCUGCCUUUGAGCGGGGGACAACAUUUGGAAACGAAUGCUAAUACCGCAUAAAAACUUUAAACACAAGUUUUAAGUUUGAAAGAUGCAAUUGCAUCACUCAAAGAUGAUCCCGCGUUGUAUUAGCUAGUUGGUGAGGUAAAGGCUCACCAAGGCGAUGAUACAUAGCCGACCUGAGAGGGUGAUCGGCCACAUUGGGACUGAGACACGGCCCAAACUCCUACGGGGGGCAGCAGUAGGGAAUCUUCGGCAAUGGACGAAAGUCUGACCGAGCAACGCCGCGUGAGUGAAGAAGGUUUUCGGAUCGUAAAACUCUGUUGGUAGAGAAGAACGUUGGUGAGAGUGGAAAGCUCAUCAAGUGACGGUAACUACCCAGAAAGGGACGGCUAACUACGUG
RNAcentral lists this ribosomal RNA (497 nucleotides) under uncultured bacterium. RNAcentral describes it as "partial 16S ribosomal RNA". It matches the Rfam family "Bacterial small subunit ribosomal RNA", at positions 28 to 507 of the family's 1533-position model. The record is from RNAcentral.